AGCGAACGUUAGCGGCGGGCCUAACACAUGCAAGUCGAGCGAGAAAGGAGCUUCGGCUCCGAGUACAGCGGCGGACGGGUGAGUAAUACGUAGGUAACCUGCCCUUCAGUGGGGGACAACGGUCCGAAAGGACCGCUAAUACCGCAUCCGUUUCUCGGGUCCCCGGACUCGAGAAGGAAAGCUGCCCGCAAGGGUGGCGCUGGAGGAGGGGCCUACGUCGCAUCAGCUAGUUGGUGGGGUAAUGGCCUACCAAGGCGAAGACGCGUAGCUGGUCUGAGAGGAUGAUCAGCCACACUGGGACUGAGACACGGCCCAGACUCCUACGGGAGGCAG
RNAcentral lists this ribosomal RNA (333 nucleotides) under uncultured Pseudomonadota bacterium. RNAcentral describes it as "bacterial SSU rRNA". It matches the Rfam family "Bacterial small subunit ribosomal RNA", at positions 29 to 351 of the family's 1533-position model. The record is from RNAcentral. Lineage: Bacteria; Pseudomonadati; Pseudomonadota.